CUUUCAUCAACAAGAGAUCAAUCAGAAAACCAUCCAUAAUCGUCAUAAGUCUCUUUUUAAAUAGAUUUGUGAGGCUCUUAACGUGUGUAUAGCAUAAUUCACUCUCAGACCAUAUGUAACUCCACUAUUGAAAUUACAGUAUCAAAAAUCCUAACAGUGUGGCUGGUAGUGCACCACUCGCACUCACCUCUGCUCCUUUGGCGCUUGUGUUGCUGCCACUUCG
This 223-nucleotide long non-coding RNA is filed under the name Elaeis guineensis (African oil palm). Its description in RNAcentral is "long non-coding RNA (EGUI_LNC035790)". The record is from RNAcentral. Lineage: Eukaryota; Viridiplantae; Streptophyta; Magnoliopsida; Arecales; Arecaceae.